Molecule: ribosomal RNA, 315 nt
Filed under: uncultured Acidobacteriota bacterium
Lineage: Bacteria; Pseudomonadati; Acidobacteriota
Description: bacterial SSU rRNA
Rfam family: Bacterial small subunit ribosomal RNA
Source: RNAcentral
GAGUUUGAUCGUGGCUCAGAAUCAACGCUGGCGGCGCGCUUAACACAUGCAAGUCGCACGAGAAAGGGAGCAAUCCUGAGUAAAGUGGCGUACGGGUGAGUAACACGUGGAUCAUCUACCUUUUAGUGGGGAAUACCUCCGGGAAACUGGAGACAAUACCGCAUAAGCUCGAAAGAGGAAAGCAGCAAUGCGCUGAAAGAGGAGUCCGCGGCCGAUUAUGCUAGUUGGUAGGGUAAUGGCCUACCAAGGCGAAGAUCGGUAGCCGGCCUGAGAGGGCUCACGGCCACACUGGCACUGAAACACGGGCCAGACUCC